UGCCAGCAGCCGCGGUAAUACGUAGGGUGCGAGCGUUAAUCGGAAUUACUGGGCGUAAAGCGUGCGCAGGCGGUUUUGUAAGUCAGAUGUGAAAGCCCCGGGCUCAACCUGGGAACUGCGUUUGAAACUACAAGGCUAGAGUGUAGCAGAGGGGGGUAGAAUUCCACGUGUAGCAGUGAAAUGCGUAGAGAUGUGGAGGAAUACCAAUGGCGAAGGCAGCCCCCUGGGUUAACACUGACGCUCAUGCACGAAAGCGUGGGGAGCAAACAGGAUUAGAUACCCUGGUAGUCCACGCCCUAAACGAUGUCUACUAGUUGUUGGGAGAGUAAAAUCUCUUAGUAACGCAGCUAACGCGUGAAGUAGACCGCCUGGGGAGUACGGUCGCAAGAUUAAAACUCAAAG
This 402-nucleotide ribosomal RNA is filed under the name uncultured bacterium. RNAcentral's name for it is "bacterial SSU rRNA". It matches the Rfam family "Bacterial small subunit ribosomal RNA", at positions 506 to 906 of the family's 1533-position model. The record is from RNAcentral.